CCUACGGGAGGCAGCAGUGGGGAAUCUUGCGCAAUGGGCGAAAGCCUGACGCAGCAACGCCGCGUGCGGGAAGAAGGCUUUCGGGCUGUAAACCGCUUUCAGCAGGAACGAAAAUGACGGUACCUGCAGAAGAAGGAGCGGCCAACUAUGUGCCAGCAGCCGCGGUGAUACAUAGGCUUCAAGCGUUGUCCGGAUUUAUUGGGCGUAAAGAGUUCGUAGGCGGUCGAGUAAGUCGGGUGUGAAAAUUCUGGGCUCAACCCAGAGACGCCACCCGAUACUGCUUGACUUGAGUUCGAUAGGGGAGUGGGGAAUUCCUAGUGUAGCGGUGAAAUGCGCAGAUAUUAGGAGGAACACCGGUGGCGAAGGCGCCACUCUGGAUCGAUACUGACGCUGAGGAACGAAAGCAUGGGUAGCAAACAGGAUUAGAUACCCUGGUAGUCCAUGCCGUAAACGGUGGGCACUAGGUGUGGGUUUCUAUUAACGAAAUCCGCGCCGUCGCUAACGCAUUAAGUGCCCCGCCUGGGGAGUACGGUCGCAAGACUAAAACUCAAANAGAAUAGUAGNGNGAGAGNGCGAGACGACACGAGGGAGGAGG
RNAcentral lists this ribosomal RNA (595 nucleotides) under uncultured bacterium. RNAcentral's name for it is "bacterial SSU rRNA". It matches the Rfam family "Bacterial small subunit ribosomal RNA", at positions 338 to 951 of the family's 1533-position model. The record is from RNAcentral.